This 253-nucleotide ribosomal RNA is filed under the name uncultured bacterium. RNAcentral describes it as "partial 16S ribosomal RNA". It matches the Rfam family "Bacterial small subunit ribosomal RNA", at positions 524 to 776 of the family's 1533-position model. The record is from RNAcentral.
UACGUAGGUGGCAAGCGUUGUCCGGAUUUACUGGGUGUAAAGGGCGUGCAGCCGGAGAGACAAGUCAGAUGUGAAAUCCACGGGCUCAACCCGUGAACUGCAUUUGAAACUGUUUCCCUUGAGUGUCGGAGAGGUAACCGGAAUUCCUUGUGUAGCGGUGAAAUGCGUAGAUAUAAGGAAGAACACCAGUGGCGAAGGCGGAUUACUGGACGAUAACUGACGGUGAGGCGCGAAAGCGUGGGGAGCAAACAGG